Molecule: ribosomal RNA, 519 nt
Filed under: fungal sp. AM2013
Lineage: Eukaryota; Fungi
Description: eukaryotic LSU rRNA
Rfam family: 5.8S ribosomal RNA (bases 121-273)
Source: RNAcentral
GCUCACACCUCCCGCUCGCCGAAUACUAGAUCUGCCUCGGCUUCGCGCCGCGCCCCCCCACCCCCCCCGCGGAACGCUGUCUAAACUUCGCAGUCUGAUACCUAUUUCGAAGUUAUUUAAAACUUUCAACAACCGAUCUCUUGCUUCCGGCAUGAUGCACAAGGUUCCGAAAUGCAAUAACAAAUGUGAAUUGCGCAAUUCAUUGAGUCAUCUAGUCAUUGAACGCACAUUGCGCCCUCUGGAAUUCCGGAGGGCCCGCCUGUCCUACCGGGGGUGCUGCCCUCCAGACCGGCUUGUGUGCCGUUCAACCCCGGCUUGUGUGUUGGGUCCCCGUCCCCCCCGGGGGACGGGCCCAAAAGGCAGCGGCGGCACCGCGUCCGGUCCUCGAGCGUAUGGGGCUUUGUCACCCGCUCGAUUAGGGCCGGCCGGGCCCCAGCCGGCGUCUCCAACCUUCUAUUUUACCAGGUUGACCCCGGAUCAGGUAGGGAUACACGAGGAAAAUUACCCAUUGCGUGCCCC